This 119-nucleotide ribosomal RNA is filed under the name Pteropus alecto (black flying fox). Lineage: Eukaryota; Metazoa; Chordata; Mammalia; Chiroptera; Pteropodidae. The record is from RNAcentral.
GUCUACGGCCAUGCUACUCUGAACAAGCCCAAUCCUGUCUGAUCUUGGAAGCUAAGCAGGGUUGGGCCUGAUUAGUACUUGGAUGGGAGACCACCUAGGAAGACCAGGUGCCGUAGGCA